AGCGAAGCACCUUGACGGAUUUCUUCGGAUUGAAGCCUUGGUGACUGAGCGGCGGACGGGUGAGUAACGCGUGGGUAACCUGCCUCAUACAGGGGGAUAACAGUUGGAAACGGCUGCUAAUACCGCAUAAGCGCACAGUACCGCAUGGUACGGUGUGAAAAACUCCGGUGGUAUGAGAUGGACCCGCGUCUGAUUAGGUAGUUGGUGGGGUAACGGCCUACCAAGCCGACGAUCAGUAGCCGACCUGAGAGGGUGACCGGCCACAUUGGGACUGAGACACGGCCCAAACUCCUACGGGAGGCAGCAGUGGGGAAUAUUGCACAAUGGGGGAAACCCUGAUGCAGCGACGCCGCGUGAGCGAUGAAGUAUUUCGGUAUGUAAAGCUCUAUCAGCAGGGAAGAAAAUGACGGUACCUGACUAAGAAGCCCCGGCUAACUACGUGCCAGCAGCCGCGGUAAUACGUAGGGGGCAAGCGUUAUCCGGAUUUACUGGGUGUAAAGGGAGCGUAGACGGCAUGGCAAGCCAGAUGUGAAAGCCCGGGGCUCAACCCCGGGACUGCAUUUGGAACUGUCAGGCUAGAGUGUCGGAGAGGAAAGCGGAAUUCCUAGUGUAGCGGUGAAAUGCGUAGAUAUUAGGAGGAACACCAGUGGCGAAGGCGGCUUUCUGGACGAUGACUGACGUUGA
Molecule: ribosomal RNA, 684 nt
Filed under: uncultured Lachnospiraceae bacterium
Lineage: Bacteria; Bacillati; Bacillota; Clostridia; Lachnospirales; Lachnospiraceae
Description: bacterial SSU rRNA
Rfam family: Bacterial small subunit ribosomal RNA
Source: RNAcentral